Molecule: RNA transcript, 4342 nt
Organism: Tachyglossus aculeatus (Australian echidna)
Lineage: Eukaryota; Metazoa; Chordata; Mammalia; Monotremata; Tachyglossidae
Gene: FBF1
Gene name: Fas binding factor 1
Exons: 31
Source: RefSeq, a predicted model, not a curated record
GGCCUGAGGCCCGUGAGGAGGCGGGAGUAAGGGGCCCUGCCUGAGGGGACUGGCGCCAUCAACACUGGCCACUUCGACGUCAUGGGGCUAGGUCAGAUGUGCGCUGACUACCCACCUGUCAGGUGACACGGAAUUGGAUCGGGACCCAAGAAACCCGUGGCAAGGAGCUGCACUGUGGCGAUGGCUCCCAAAGCCAAGAGAGGACUGAGAGGCUCCAUUGACGACGUCCUCGGGGAUCUCCUCGGCGAAGAUGACCCUGCACCUGCUCACCCUGGCCUCGGCCAGGGCCACGCAAGACCCGCCCGGGAGCCGCCUCCGAGAGCCGGUCGGAGGUCCUUCCUGGACGGUGAUGUCUUCGGCCCAGUGGCAGCCCAGGUUGACGAGGAGGCUGAGGUCUCGGAAGUCUCCGACGCCGACCCGCAGGCGCUGCUCCAGUCGAUGAAGGACAUGGAUGAAAUGGACGCCGACCUCCUCGGCCGGAGGAGAUCCAGUCCAGUAGCUAAGGCCAUCGCGAAGGGUUCUGGGAAGGAGGAGUCGCUCGAUGACCCCCCGAGAGCUGCAGGGACACUUGCCGCUGGUGAGAGAGGAGAGGCCUCCCGCAACCAGAAACCCCGUCCCUCCAUCGGCGGCUCUGGCCGGCAAUCCCGGAAGUUCUCCUUCGAAGAUGCCGCGGACCCCCUGGCGGGCCUCCUCUCUGAAGAUGAGGAGGAGGAGGCGGCCAGCAAGAAGCCCCCAGGCCCAGAGAGCAAAGCCGCUCCCCAGCAGAGCCCCAACACCCCCAGAGAGCGAGAACCUGCUGCCCCUGGACCUGCCAGCGGCCCACCCGCCCCGAAGAAGGAGGAGUUGGCAUACGAUGACAGCGACGACCUCAUGGCUGCGCUGGGAUUCGGGGACAGCCCCAAGGCCGGGCGCGAGCCGUCCAGGGGCAAUCAGGAAGAGCCCCGCCCGGCACGAACCAAGCUGGAUGAGUUGCUGGGGCGGAGCCCUGCCCCCAGGCUCCCAGAGCGUCCGGCUGCCGGGGAGCGUCCGAGGGGCCGGCUGGAGGGUGAGCGCCCCAAGCAGCCCGAACGGGAAGAUGCCCAGGCAGAGGAGGACUUGAUCUUCGGAGCCUACCAGCCCACCCUGGUCUCCUCGGAGGGCCGGCCCCCCCGACGGCCGUCCGUCAGGUUCUCAGCAGAGCGCCUCAGCGAGCACAAGCGAGCCAAGCCGGGUUCUCCCGCUGCCACCGCCGUCACUGCCACCCCCGUCUCCGCCCAGCCCGGCAAGAGAGGAGCCGAUUGGCUGGGCCUGAAAGACCAUGACCUUGACUCACCCCUCCCUUCUCCCCCCAUGGAGCCCAGGGGGGUGACCGCCCCAAACCCUCCAACCCUUCCUGGGGCCGAGCGGCCCGUGGAGGGGGGAUCCGCCCCCAAGGAGCCGUCGGAGGAGGGACAGGAGGAGCCAGAAGACUGGCUGAGCCAGGCUCUGAUGCGCAGGGGGAGAGCCAGGAAAGGGCAGGCCGGGCCUGUGGUCCUUCAAGCUCCCAGCAGCCAACCAGGGACCGGCUCUGAGGGGCUUGAGCCAAGGGUGGCCCAGGGGGCUCCGGGUACCUGCCGGGAUGCCCGGCCUGCCGGAACCACCAGCUUUGGGGCGCCCUGUGCUGGCCAGGUGCCGGCCGCCUCCCUGAGCAGCGAGGGGCUUCACGUAGGCUCCCCCAGAGUCGAACCUCCAGCUGGUAGCCCCUGGCCUCGGGAGCAGUCGGGCUUUGCAUCUGCCCAGCCCCUUCUCCCCGAGCCCCGAGGGCAGAGCCUGCUGCCCGGGAGCCGGGAGGACCAGAGGCAGAUCCCGCUGGUCAACCUGACCGAGAGCCCAGCCGAGCCGUUACGGGCCCAGGCCCGGCUGGCCGAGCUGGAGGCCCAGGUGCGGAAGCUGGAGCUGGAGAGGACGCAGCAGGGGCUCCUGCUCGAGACUUUGCAGCAGCGACACCAGGAGGACCUGGAACUUAUCGAGAACGCCCACAGGAGCCGCGUGAAGGUGCUGGAGAUGUCAUUCGAGCAGCGGGAGAAGAGACUCCGGCUGGAGAACGAGGAACUGGCGAGCCGGCAACAGGCCCGCUGCCAGGAGGCCGAGCGGGCCCUGGCGGAGCUCCAGGCCCAGCACCAGCUCCGUCUGGCGGCCGUCAAGCAGGAGAAGGACCGGGAGCUGGAGCGACUGCGUGACCUGCAGCGGGCCUCCGUCCUGGAGAUGCGCCAAGACCACGAGGAGCAGCUGCAGCGUCUGAAGCAGCUGAAGGAUCGGGAGAUUGACGCCGUGACCAGCGCCACCUCCCACACUCGGUCCCUGAACAGCAUCAUCGAGCAGAUGGAAAAGUUUUCUUGCCAUCUUAGUGACCUCUCGUCCCGCGUGGAGGCCGCCCACGUCACCACCACCCAGGAGCGGGAGCUGGGGGCCCGGCAGCGCGAUGAGCAGCUCCGCGCGCUGCAGGACCGACUGAGUCAGCAGCAGCGGGACACAGAAGAGGAGCGGGGCCGGCUGCACGGGGCCAUCGCCAAGAUGGAGGCUCGGCUAGGGGAGCAGGGCCGCCUCCUGGAGCAGGAACGCUGGAGGGUCAGCGCGGAGCAGUGCAAGGCGGAGGCCUCGCAGCGUGCCCUGGAGGAGCAGAGGAAGGUCGUGAGCCAGCAGGCGGCCAUGGAGCGUGAAGAGCUGGAGAGGGCCAAGAGUGCCUUGCUGGAGGAGCAGAAGUCCGUCCUGCUCAAGUGUGGGGAGGAGCGGCGGCGGCUGGCGGCCGAGUGGGCCGAAUUCUACGCGCAGCAGAAACUGCAGAAGGAGCGGGCGGAGCGCGAGGUGGAGCGGACGCUGCAGGCCGACGCUCAGAGGGAGGGGACCGUUCUCCACCUGGCCAAGGAGCAGGCAGAGCUGAAGGCCCGGGCCGGGGAGCUGCGGGCCGGGGAGCAGCGGCUGGCGGAGGAGCGGGAGGCGUUGGAGCAGGAGCGGCGGCUGCUCAGCGAGGAGAAGGGCCGGGUCAGCGCCGCAGCCGGCCGCCUCCGACAGCGGGCCGCGGAGGUCGACAGCAUGAGCGAGGUGGCCGCACGGAAGUUCGAGGAGGGCGAGCGGGCACUGCAGGAGGCGCGGCAGGUGCGGGCCCAGCACCAGGCUCGGCUCCAGCUCGUGCAGCAGCAGCAGGAGCAGCUGAGGCAGCAGGAGGAACAAAUGCACCACGAGCAUCUGAACCUGGCCCAGCACAGGUGGCAGCUGGACGCCCCCCGCGAUGACCUCCACCACAAUCUCCCCCGCGGGCCCCUGGGCCUCGCCAGCCUGCACGCCUCUCCUGUUGGUGGCAGCGGCGGCAGCAGCAGCCUCCCCCCUGGCAGCCAGCCUUCCUCGGGCAUCUCCCAGCUGCAUGCCCGGCUGGUGCUGCUGAAACACUCCGCUCAGCGGGACCGGGACUUCCUGGAGGAUGAGCAGUUCUUCCUGGAGACCCUGCGCCGACCCUCCUCCCACCCGGCGUGAGCGGAGUGGAGGGCACAGUCCUGGCCAAGAUGCCGAGAGCGUGCCCUGUCCGUCCGGCAACUGAGGCAGUGGCGGGAAGCGGGUCAGGGAGCUGAUGACCCCGUGGAUCCCAUCAGAGCGUCCAUCUGGCGCGGCAGUGAUUGGGCCUUAUGGAGACGAGGUCAGUCUGACUUGUGAAAUAAAGACACUAUUACUGCUGCCGCCACUUCUGACCAAAUCCAGUUUAUCACUUCCCCACUUGAGAAGAAAAACAGGGCCCCGGGGUUGGGCAGUACAAGAAUAUGCCCUUUCUGCCACCUCCGUCCAUCUGACUGUCCGCCUCGCCCCAACUUGAAUGGUGAUGUUUCAUGCCAAGACAGUAGCCUAACGACCCGCGGUUCAAAAGCUCUGUCUUUGAUGGUCAAGCUUUGCUCUCUGACACACGCCCUUUUGACCGGGGCCGGACCAGGCGCCGUUCAUCUGGCAGUUUACAAGGGAUGGGACCCCAAGCUCCUCCAUUCCUGGCUCUAAGAGAUUCCCCACCCGCAGGGACCUUACAGACGAGUGGGUGGUCCCGAACACUUAGUACAGCGUUCCGCACACAGAAGGCAACCGGCCAGUGCCCAGCCCCAUCAUCCAGAUGACCCAAGUGGCCACUUUUGAGCUUGAAUAACCUGGUCCGUGACUCAAAUCUUCACUUUGUGCGUGUAGGUGGGGGUGACUUGAGAGUAGCCAUUUUCUUCCCGAAUGCUUUUAAUAUAACGGAAGAAUUCGACACCUUUUCUUACGUUUGGAGCGUGUUAGUUUUCAUUUUCACAGAGAUAGGAGAUGAGCUAAGGGGACGGGGCGGCUAGACCGGAAUGGCAACGGACGG